GGAUACCCGCUGAACUUAAGCAUAUCAAUAAGCGGAGGAAAAGAAACCAACAGGGAUUGCCCUAGUAACGGCGAGUGAAGCGGCAACAGCUCAAAUUUGAAAUCUGGCUCUUUUAGAGUCCGAGUUGUAAUUUGCAGAGGGCGCUUUGGCUUUGGCAGCGGUCCAAGUUCCUUGGAACAGGACGUCACAGAGGGUGAGAAUCCCGUACGUGGUCGCUG
RNAcentral lists this ribosomal RNA (218 nucleotides) under Anophryoides haemophila. RNAcentral describes it as "partial Eukaryotic large subunit ribosomal RNA". It matches the Rfam family "Eukaryotic large subunit ribosomal RNA", at positions 19 to 234 of the family's 3401-position model. Lineage: Eukaryota; Ciliophora; Oligohymenophorea; Philasterida; Glauconematidae. The record is from RNAcentral.